RNAcentral lists this long non-coding RNA (3898 nucleotides) under Podarcis lilfordi (Lilford's wall lizard). The record is from RNAcentral. Lineage: Eukaryota; Metazoa; Chordata; Lepidosauria; Squamata; Lacertidae.
UUUGUGAACACUCAUCGGCCAAUGAACCAGCUACAAAACCACCUAACAGUAACCUCAUCCUGCCCACAUUUUGCCAGCUUCUUCACACAAAUACCAUGGGGGACUCUGUCAAAAAGCCUUACUGAAAUCAAGAUACACUAUGUCCACAGCAUUCCACUGAAUUGGAGUUCAGUGAGGGAAAUAAAUCAGGGAAUGGGCAUUGGGUGAAGGCCUCCCCACCUAUACUCGGGUGUGAACAUCAGCAUAAAAAUGCAACUUGAAAUGCAACGGGUGCCCUCGCUGCAGUCCAAGCUGCUAAUGUGUACAUAGUCAAACUGUCUGAAGAAUCUCUUUCGAAGAGAAGCUCUGGAGAGAACAAUAUAAUGCAUUGUAGAACAAUCAUUUCCAAUCCUCUGACUGCAAAUGCACAAAUGCCAGCUUACAGGUAUUUUAGCAUAUCUCCCCUGUGGGCAUAGUUUGGAGUUUCAAAGCUGUAAAUGCUUUCCCCACCGCAUAAGCAGAUAAUUCAGAAAAGUAAUCUGAAAGACCAUAAUCGUAUUUCUGAGAAUAAUAAAAUGAUGAAAAUUGCAUCGCUUGAAGAUCACAUCUAGUUAGUAAGAGAUCCUACUCUUUAACCUUAUUUUUAAAUCACUGCUUUUGCUAUCGGAGUUGCAACCUUAAGGAGGUUGGGAAACGGUCCAUGCUGAGUUAAGAGGCUUUGACAUUUAUUAACCCAGCUUUGUGCACAUCUAUUAGCAAUUUGCUCCAAAUAGUGUUUUUUUGGGCAACUUUGUACCUUGCAUAUGCUGUAAUUUCCAACCAGUACAAAAGCAAGGCAGUAUAACUCUGGGCAAUAUAGAAGAAACCUCAAAUCUCAUCAUGGCACAUCAUGGCAAAAGCAGCCUCAAAUAAAUUUUGAAUAGUUUCUUGCUUGGCAACAUUAGUCCAGCCCCAAAAAGAGUGACGGUAGUGCUUUUUAUGAGUGGCUAAACAUGCUUUGGAAACUGAAAAGUGCUUUUAUUUUACACUUCUCAAAUGAUUACAUUGUUUCACAAGCUCUUCUUAUCAAUUAGGAACAUGCAAAAGAAGUGAUAAACUUCUGUUUGUGGAGGGACUUUUAUUUUAAAAUAUUUGAGUAGCUUUUUGACAGCAUCUAAAAUGAUUCACCAGCAACAAAGUAAAUCACAAAUCAGUAAGAGGUAUAGGAAGCCUAGGAAGCUAUUCCAGAGUUAGGGUGCCAUCACUGAAAAGGCCCCUUCCCCACUUAAUCUCCGAAAGAGGGAGGCCUUAGUGCACUGGGUUCUGCACUAGAUGUGCUGCUCUUCAGACUGUAUCACUUCAAGAAGAUUGAGGUUGCAUUUCCCCCCAUGUUGACAGGAGGGAGAGUUUUCUGAAUAGCAUGUGUUGAUAGCUGAUUUGGUUUUUGAGACAGGGCCAGCCCCUAACAUUGGGCAGAGUAAAGUGCCAUAAACUGGAGGGUGGGGAUGCCAAAAGCUAUAUGUACCCCAUGGCCUUCCCUGUGCCCUGUAAGGUAGUGUCUCCCUUAGGUAUGAUGGAUGGUGUCACUUCAACACCGCUAAUGGAAAAUUCAGCUGCCAGUCCAGAUGUGGAAUGGGAAAGGUGACAUCUGUCCCUUUGCCUCAGGUGGCAGAAUGUAUUUCUCUGAGGCCAAGUGUGUUGUGUAGGAGACCUUUCAAUACCACAUACACAUUUUCUUUCGGGUUACUUCUCACAAGAGAGGAAAGGCACUAACCCUUUGAGAAUAUUGAUGUAUUUUAGGAUUCAGGCAGGGUUUACGCUUGAGUUAUAAGGGUUUUAAAAAAUAAUAAUAAAAAAGCCAAGAAAAAUGGCAAUGGCGGUGACCCUGACCUAACCCGCUCUAGUAUCCCAGCUCACUCACUGAAGACACUUCAUGGAAUGCAUCUGUUCCCAAGAUCUUCCUUGUCCUUGUCCCUAUUUUUGUCGCUGCUCAGAAUAGAUAAUGUUCUGCUUCCUCAGUACUGCGAACUUGCUUGUCUGGCAAGAGGAUUCAAAUAUGGCAAGCUUUCCAUACUUUUAAAUUAGCUGUUGUUUGUUUUGUUUUUUAAGUUGAAAGUGGUUAUUUGAGAUGGGCCUAGCCAAUGUAUGCAGGCAAUUUCGGACAAGAUAUUAGAGUUACGACCUGUAAAUUAGAUUUAAGGGUGUGGGAGGGGGAAGAGCAAAAAUUGACUGGAAUGAAUGCUAGCAGGCAGGUUUUUAUUGGAGGCAGAUUGGGGUAUGUGGGAAAAUGCCUUUUUGACCAGGAAAGAUGAAAACAAAUGAAUAAACAAAACAAAUGCCUCAAAACCAAAUAGUACACAGUAGAUCAAAGGCACAGUCAUUUAGGAAUGCAAGUGAGUCCUUACCCAGCCUUUAAUGGAGAGAGAAGUGCUGGCUUGACAUUGGUCAGCGUGGGUUUCCCCCCAUCUUCUUUGAUGUUGUGCUUAGAGUGGAUUCAGCACUCCUAAGUCAUUCUAAAACCAUUCUUUAUUAUUAAGAUAUUGAGAAAUAUCCUCUUACUAGCCAACAUAUUUAAAGAUCUCAUUGAUCUGUACCAAGGGCAAAUGUGCCUACAUACACAUAGAGAGAAAUCACAAAUGCAUGGAAAUUAGAUCAGAAAGAUUAAAAUAUUUAAAAGCCAAGUAAAUAAAGGAAAAUAAAGUAUACAGGUAGACAUCAUGAUUUUGCUUCAUCUAUAAAUGUACUAAAUUUCUCUGUUAAGCUGUCUGUACACUGUGCAUCUAUUCUAAAAUAUGCAAGUUUAUUUAAAAAAGACCCCAAGUAUAAGUAUGAAGUAUGAGUAGUUCUGACCGAUUUCCAGUGAGCACCAAUGGACUGUCUAGUUGAGAUUAGCAAAUCUGUAAACAGUUCUAAGCACUUCUGAGGCUGGGUCUGUUAAAAAGUCACAUGAAGACAAGCCAUUCUUGACCCUUGUGUUUUGAGAACAGCAUUGUUUGCUUACAGGGUCCGCCAACCAUUCUGGGCCUAUGGGCACAUUUGUGCACUGGAGAAACAUUUGGGCAUACUUCACACACCACAAGCUACACUCAUUGGCUACAACAGAAUGUUUCUUUCAAUUUCAGUAGGGGGAGGUACCCUUUGGGUGCCAUGGAAGGCCUGCUGCAUGUUGCAAACCCUGUAUUAAAAGUAAUGUCUCUACCUCAGUCACAUGGUUUGGAACUUCAAACCUUAUAUGGUAGGAUUGCUACCUUGACACUGGAUGCAAAUCUUCCAUUUGUGGCUCUUUCCAACCACCUCAUCUCCUGGCCCUGUAGUUUUAUCAUUCCCACAACAGUAUGCAGAAGGUCCCUUCUUCAAUCCCUGGCAUCUCCAGUUACAAGGAUCAGUUAGUAGGUUUAUGGACCAAACAGUCAAACCUGGUAUAAGGCAGCUUCUGAUGCACCUACAGAAGUGAGGGGGAAUGUUGAGUAUCUGGUAGGGGGAGACCCAUAGCUAGCUGGGCGCAUGUGUCCACAAUGGCUCACAAGUGGCGUGCGUUGCCCUCUUUGGAAAUAUACCUCAUCAACUAAAAAUAUCUAAAGGGCAGACUCGAAUGACCUUUCAUCCCCUUUUCCUUUUUUGCUUUAUGGCAUGAUUUUAUUUCUUGUAAGUAUAUUGAGGCACAAGGUCUCUCAGUGUCACCAUAAUAUUCAAACACCUGGCUCGUCCAAGACUUAAUGGUACGUUUGCUCUCAAUAAUGAUGUCACUCACAGGUGGAGGAUACUUUUAUUUUUACAUAACUUUGUUACUUGUAAAGGGAAUGUUUCUAUGAAUCAGACUAUUUCUUCGGAGCUGCCCUGUACCUUUCUACUUUUGUCCUUCCAAUAAUUUUUUAUUCUUUGUUUUUCUUCUUUUUGUUAUGUUUACAUUUCUUAACAAAAUCAAUAAAAUGUUAAGUGG